Molecule: ribosomal RNA, 119 nt
Organism: Salmo trutta (river trout)
Lineage: Eukaryota; Metazoa; Chordata; Actinopteri; Salmoniformes; Salmonidae
Source: Ensembl
GUUUACGGCCAUACCAGUCUGGGUACGCCCGAUCUCGUCUGAUCUCGGAAGCUAAGCAGGGUUGGGCCUGGUUAGUACUUGGAUGGGAGACCGCCUGGGAAUACCAGGUGCUGUAAGCA